This 133-nucleotide transfer RNA is filed under the name Cordyceps militaris CM01. It matches the Rfam family "tRNA". From Rfam's summary of the family: Transfer RNA (tRNA) molecules are approximately 80 nucleotides in length. Their secondary structure includes four short double-helical elements and three loops (D, anti-codon, and T loops). Further hydrogen bonds mediate the characteristic L-shaped molecular structure. tRNAs have two regions of fundamental functional importance: the anti-codon, which is responsible for specific mRNA codon recognition, and the 3' end, to which the tRNAs corresponding amino acid is attached (by aminoacyl-tRNA synthetases). tRNAs cope with the degeneracy of the genetic code in two manners: having more than one tRNA (with a specific anti-codon) for a particular amino acid; and 'wobble' base-pairing, i.e. permitting non-standard base-pairing at the 3rd anti-codon position. Lineage: Eukaryota; Fungi; Ascomycota; Sordariomycetes; Hypocreales; Cordycipitaceae. The record is from Rfam by way of RNAcentral.
GUCACUUUGGCCGAGUGGUUAAGGCGGUGCCCUGCGUAUGUACUCACCCGUUCUUCCGACAGUCCAUCACCACUAACAGCCUCCCAGUAAGGCAUUACGUUCGCGUGCGUAGGUUCGAAUCCUGCAGGUGACG